CAACCUCUGCCUCCUGGAACAUUUGCUUUCUUUCCUCUCCACCAGUUUUGAGGGAAGAAUGUUGACUUUUAAGCCACUCCCACUUUUCCCUAUGACAUCUGUACAUGCU
Molecule: long non-coding RNA, 109 nt
Organism: Sapajus apella (tufted capuchin)
Lineage: Eukaryota; Metazoa; Chordata; Mammalia; Primates; Cebidae
Exons: 3
Source: RefSeq, a predicted model, not a curated record